RNAcentral lists this transfer RNA (69 nucleotides) under Sphaerodactylus townsendi. Its description in RNAcentral is "tRNA-Ala". The record is from RNAcentral. Lineage: Eukaryota; Metazoa; Chordata; Lepidosauria; Squamata; Sphaerodactylidae.
GCUGUGGCUCAGUGGUAAAACAUCUGCUCAGCAUGCAGGAGACCCGAGGUUCAAGCCCUGGCAUCUCCA